Lycium ferocissimum is the source of this 882-nucleotide long non-coding RNA. RefSeq lists it as uncharacterized. NCBI's taxonomy places the organism in Eukaryota, Viridiplantae, Streptophyta, Magnoliopsida, Solanales, Solanaceae. The transcript has 2 exons. The record is from RefSeq and is a predicted model, not a curated record.
UCCUCGUGACUUAGGAAUAGUUUCUUGUUCCCUUGGCCCAAAAUAAAACUUUCUUAUCAUCAUAUUUGAGUUUGUGAAAAAUUCUCAAGCUAGGUAGCUUAAUAAGUUCAGUCUUGAUAUCCUCUUUCUCAUGGAGCUUAAGGCUAGCUUCACUCCCAUUUUCUUUCUUCUCCUCCUCCUAGCACCUUGCUCUUCAGGUUUCUUUAUAAUGAAAUAAGUUUUCUUUUUUGGGAACGUAUACAUUUGGGCGUUCGACCAAGAAUAUUUACAGUCUCUAGCUAAUAUACAUAAUAUAUACAUGUAUUAUAUUAUAUAUUAUUGAAGGCUAUUUUCUUUUUGCUUGAAAGGCUAUUUAUGUUAAUUUCUCCUUUUUUGUUCACUUGAUGUGGAUUUAUAAAAGGGUAACCGGUGCAUGAAGCAUCUAAUGUCCACACAGGGUUCGAAGAAGGGCCGCUGCUUAGGGGUGUGAUGUGGGAUUUAAUGACUAAUCAAAAUGUUAUUUUCUUGAUAGGGAAAAGGGAUUUAUCGAACGUGGAUUCAAGGAUUUACGAUAUCGAUUAUAGAGGUCCUGAAACUCACACUCACAUUCCUACACCAAAUCGAUCCAAGGGACAGCAUAACGGUUGCAAAUCUGAAGGCUUUAAAGCUAGUAAGCCUGGCCAAACUCAUGGGAAGAAAAUUCAUGGAUGAGUUUGAACAAAGUUUGAUUUAUUUGGGAAUUCAGGAAAUUUGGAUAAGCAAUCAUAAAAUAAAUGAGGAUGUUCCUAAACUGCAAAGAGUAUGUACAUGCAUACUAGUUGCAGGAGGCCCGUGCUAAGCCCGGGUCCAAACUCAGUAUGUAAGAGUUGUAACUUAAUUAAAAAAGUAUAUAACUUUGUCAUA